This is a long non-coding RNA of Hemicordylus capensis (graceful crag lizard), 848 nucleotides long. RefSeq lists it as uncharacterized. NCBI's taxonomy places the organism in Eukaryota, Metazoa, Chordata, Lepidosauria, Squamata, Cordylidae. The transcript has 3 exons. The record is from RefSeq and is a predicted model, not a curated record.
CACUGAACAUAUAUACCUAUCCUGCACUUACGAGGCUAUGUGACCAAGAAGUUAUUUACUGAGAGUGGAGUAAUAAACAUAUGGUGGCAGCAAAAGAAAGUAACAACCGAUGAACUUCGAUGAACGUGGAUCCCCUUGGGACAAAUGUCUAAACAAAGUGCAAAAUAGAAUACAAGCAGCUAAAAGAAAAAAGACUUCCCCACCUUCUGCGCACUCCGAUAGGCUGCCUGAGGAGUCAAUCAGCAUGAUGCCUUCCGACCUGUACUCAGGGCGUUUUAAGCUCCGCCCACCUCCUGAAAACAAAGGCAAGCCUUGUAAUUGGCUGCUGAAUAUCAUGCAUAUUCAAUCUUGAACAACUCAGUGUUCCUAUUGGUGUUUGCAACAUUCUGGUACUGUCGCCCACCCUACGGACACACUGGGGCCAGGCUGCAGGCAGGAAAGAGGCACCGGCAGUCAGAGAAAUGGUUACCGGAGACAUACAGAGGUGGUAAAAUGACUGCCAAAUAUUUUCAGAUUGCCUGAAACCUCCUUCAAAUGUUGGGGCACUGAAAGGGCUCUGCCUGGCAAAACUCGGCUGUGGCCCCAACCAGCAGCACUCAAGAAGAGGGUCUGAGAACACACCCGCAAGGGAGGCACAAAUCUCUGAAAAUGGCGGGCAGUCAUCCAGACGGGUUAGUGUCAUCACAACUACUGACACAAGUUGGCCGUGAUUAACGUAAUCUGAAUGCUUCUCAGGGAUUGUUUAUGAAACAAAUCUUGGGAGAAAGUACAGGCGAGUUUCAUGUAUCCGCGGUUGUCUAAGAGACACCCGUUUCCAGUAGCUGCGAAUAAAGGCAAAGUAAAGUGUG